GAUGAACGCUAGCGGCAGGCUUAAUACAUGCAAGUCGAGGGGCAGCAGGGGUAGCAAUACUCGCUGGCGACCGGCAAACGGGUGCGGAACACGUACAGAACCUUCCUCUGAGUGGGAGAUAGCCCGGAGAAAUCCGGAUUAAUACCCCAUAGUAAUUUAGGGUGGCAUCACUUUAGAUUUAAAGAUUUAUUGCUUAGAGAUGGCUGUGCGUAUGAUUAGGUAGUUGGUGAGGUAACGGCUCACCAAGCCUACGAUCAUUAACUGGUGUGAGAGCACGACCAGUCACACGGGCACUGAGACACGGGCCCGACUCCUACGGGAGGCAGCAGUAAGGAAUAUUGGUCAAUGGACGCAAGUCUGAACCAGCCAUGCCGCGUGGAGGAUUAAGGCCCUCUGGGUUGUAAACUCCUUUUAUCUGGGAAGAAAUGCAUUUUUUCUAAAGUGCUUGACGGUACCAGAGGAAUAAGCACCGGCUAACUCCGUGCCAGCCGCCG
RNAcentral lists this ribosomal RNA (494 nucleotides) under uncultured bacterium. Its description in RNAcentral is "bacterial SSU rRNA". It matches the Rfam family "Bacterial small subunit ribosomal RNA", at positions 28 to 517 of the family's 1533-position model. The record is from RNAcentral.